GUUCCAGACUCCUACGGGAGGCAGCAGUGAGGAAUAUUGGUCAAUGGGCGGGAGCCUGAACCAGCCAAGUCGCGUGAGGGAAGACGGCCCUACGGGUUGUAAACCUCUUUUGUCGGGGAGCAAAGCGAACCACGUGUGGUUCAUUGAGAGUACCCGAAGAAAAAGCAUCGGCUAACUCCGUGCCAGCAGCCGCGGUAAUACGGAGGAUGCGAGCGUUAUCCGGAUUUAUUGGGUUUAAAGGGUGCGCAGGCGGAAGAUCAAGUCAGGGGUAAAAUUGAGGGGCUCAACCUCUUCGAGCCGUUGAAACUGGUUUUCUUGAGUGAGCGAGAAGUAUGCGGAAUGCGUGGUGUAGCGGUGAAAUGCAUAGAUAUCACGCAGAACUCCGAUUGCGAAGGCAGCAUACCGGCGCUCAACUGACGCUCAUGCACGAAAGUGUGGGUAUCGAACAGGAUUAGAUACCCGAGUAAA
Molecule: ribosomal RNA, 468 nt
Filed under: uncultured bacterium
Lineage: Bacteria
Description: bacterial SSU rRNA
Rfam family: Bacterial small subunit ribosomal RNA
Source: RNAcentral